Molecule: ribosomal RNA, 492 nt
Filed under: uncultured bacterium
Lineage: Bacteria
Description: partial 16S ribosomal RNA
Rfam family: Bacterial small subunit ribosomal RNA
Source: RNAcentral
AGUGAACGCUGGCGGUAGGCCUAACACAUGCAAGUCGAACGGCAGCACAGUAAGAGCUUGCUCUUACGGGUGGCGAGUGGCGGACGGGUGAGGAAUACAUCGGAAUCUACUUUUUCGUGGGGGAUAACGUAGGGAAACUUACGCUAAUACCGCAUACGACCUACGGGUGAAAGCAGGGGAUCUUCGGACCUUGCGCGAUUGAAUGAGCCGAUGUCGGAUUAGCUAGUUGGCGGGGUAAAGGCCCACCAAGGCGACGAUCCGUAGCUGGUCUGAGCGGAUGAUCAGCCACACUGGAACUGAGACACGGUCCAGACUCCUACGGGAGGCAGCAGUGGGGAAUAUUGGGCAAUGGGGGAAAGCCUGAUCCAGCAAUACCGCGUGAGUGAAGAAGGACUUCGGGUUGUAAAGCCCUGUUGUUGGGAAAGAAAAGCAGCAGGUUAAUACCCCGCUGUCCUGACGGUACCCAAAGAAUAAGCACCGGCUAACUUCGUG